GGGGUUGUAGGGUAGUCUGGUUUAUCCUUCGGCGUUCGGGUCGCCGUGACCUGAGUUCAAAUCUCAGCAACCCCA
RNAcentral lists this transfer RNA (75 nucleotides) under Methanocellales archaeon. RNAcentral describes it as "tRNA-Pro". It matches the Rfam family "tRNA". From Rfam's summary of the family: Transfer RNA (tRNA) molecules are approximately 80 nucleotides in length. Their secondary structure includes four short double-helical elements and three loops (D, anti-codon, and T loops). Further hydrogen bonds mediate the characteristic L-shaped molecular structure. tRNAs have two regions of fundamental functional importance: the anti-codon, which is responsible for specific mRNA codon recognition, and the 3' end, to which the tRNAs corresponding amino acid is attached (by aminoacyl-tRNA synthetases). tRNAs cope with the degeneracy of the genetic code in two manners: having more than one tRNA (with a specific anti-codon) for a particular amino acid; and 'wobble' base-pairing, i.e. permitting non-standard base-pairing at the 3rd anti-codon position. The record is from RNAcentral. RNAcentral also lists the same sequence under 1 other name. Lineage: Archaea; Methanobacteriati; Methanobacteriota; Methanomicrobia; Methanocellales.